UGAGGGAAAGGCGAAAAGAACCCCGGCGAGGGGAGUGAAAAAGAACCUGAAACCGUGUACGUACAAGCAGUGGGAGCACGCUUAGGCGUGUGACUGCGUACCUUUUGUAUAAUGGGUCAGCGACUUAUAUUCUGUAGCAAGGUUAACCGAAUAGGGGAGCCGAAGGGAAACCGAGUCUUAACUGGGCGUUAAGUUGCAGGGUAUAGACCCGAAACCCGGUGAUCUAGCCAUGGGCAGGUUGAAGGUUGGGUAACACUAACUGGAGGACCGAACCGACUAAUGUUGAAAAAUUAGCGGAUGACUUGUGGCUGGGGGUGAAAGGCCAAUCAAACCGGGAGAUAGCUGGUUCUCCCCGAAAGCUAUUUAGGUAGCGCCUCGUGAAUUCAUCUCCGGGGGUAGAGCACUGUUUCGGCAAGGGGGUCAUCCCGACUUACCAACCCGAUGCAAACUGCGAAUACCGGAGAAUGUUAUCACGGGAGACACACGGCGGGUGCUAACGUCCGUCGUGAAGAGGGAAACAACCCAGACCGCCAGCUAAGGUCCCAAAGUCAUGGUUAAGUGGGAAACGAUGUGGGAAGGCCCAGACAGCCAGGAUGUUGGCUUAGAAGCAGCCAUCAUUUAAAGAAAGCGUAAUAGCUCACUGGUCGAGUCGGCCUGCGCGGAAGAUGUAACGGGGCUAAACCAUGCACCGAAGCUGCGGCAGCGACGCUUAUGCGUUGUUGGGUA
RNAcentral lists this ribosomal RNA (726 nucleotides) under Escherichia coli. RNAcentral's name for it is "partial 23S ribosomal RNA". It matches the Rfam family "Bacterial large subunit ribosomal RNA", at positions 504 to 1230 of the family's 2925-position model. The record is from RNAcentral. Lineage: Bacteria; Pseudomonadati; Pseudomonadota; Gammaproteobacteria; Enterobacterales; Enterobacteriaceae. RNAcentral also lists the same sequence under 1 other name.